GACGAACGCUGGCGGCGUGCCUAAUACAUGCAAGUUGAGCGAUGAAGAUUGGUGCUUGCACCAAUUUGAAGAGCAGCGAACGGGUGAGUAACGCGUGGGGAAUCUGCCUUUGAGCGGGGGACAACAUUUGGAAACGAAUGCUAAUACCGCAUAACAACUUUAAACAUAAGUUUUAAGUUUGAAAGAUGCAAUUGCAUCACUCAAAGAUGAUCCCGCGUUGUAUUAGCUAGUUGGUGAGGUAAAGGCUCACCAAGGGGAUGAUACAUAGCCGACCUGAGAGGGGGAUCGGCGACACUGGGACUGAGACACGGCCCAAACUCCUACGGGAGGCAGCAGUAGGGAAUCUUCGGCAAUGGACGAAAGUCUGACCGAGCAACGCCGCGUGAGUGAAGAAGGUUGUCGGAUCGGAAAACUCUGUUGGUAGAGAAGAACGUUGGUGAGAGUGGAAAGCUCAACAAGUGACGGUAACUACCCAGAAAGGGACGGCUAACUACGUG
Molecule: ribosomal RNA, 497 nt
Filed under: uncultured bacterium
Lineage: Bacteria
Description: partial 16S ribosomal RNA
Rfam family: Bacterial small subunit ribosomal RNA
Source: RNAcentral